RNAcentral lists this ribosomal RNA (497 nucleotides) under uncultured bacterium. RNAcentral's name for it is "partial 16S ribosomal RNA". It matches the Rfam family "Bacterial small subunit ribosomal RNA", at positions 28 to 507 of the family's 1533-position model. The record is from RNAcentral.
GAUGAACGCUGGCGGCGUGCCUAAUACAUGCAAGUCGAGCGAACAGACGAGGAGCUUGCUCCUUUGACGUUAGCGGCGGACGGGUGAGUAACACGUAGGUAACCUACCUAUAAGACUGGGAUAACUUCGGGAAACCGGAGCUAAUACCGGAUAAUAUUUCGAACCGCAUGGUUCGAUAGUGAAAGAUGGCUUUGCUAUCACUUAUAGAUGGACCUGCGCCGGAUUAGCUAGUUGGUAAGGUAACGGCUUAACAAGGCAACGAUACGUAGCCGACCUGAGAGGGUGAUCGGCCACACUGGAACUGAGACACGGUCCAGACUCCUACGGGAGGCAGCAGUAGGGAAUCUUCCGCAAUGGGCGAAAGCCUGACGGAGCAACGCCGCGUGAGUGAUGAAGGUCUUCGGAUCGUAAAACUCUGUUAUUAGGGAAGAACAAACGUGUAAGUAACUGUGCACGUCUUGACGGUACCUAAUCAGAAAGCCACGGCUAACUACGUG